GACGGAGGAUGCAAGUGUUAUCCGGAAUCACUGGGCGUAAAGCGCACGUAGGCGGCUUCUUAAGUCAGGGGUGAAAUCCUGGAGCUCAACUCCAGAACUGCCUUUGAUACUGGGAGGCUCGAGUCCGGGAGAGGUGAGUGGAACUGCGAGUGUAGAGGUGAAAUUCGUAGAUAUUCGCAAGAACACCAGUGGCGAAGGCGGCUCACUGGCCCGGUACUGACGCUGAGGUGCGAAAGCGUGGGGAGCAAACAGG
RNAcentral lists this ribosomal RNA (253 nucleotides) under uncultured bacterium. RNAcentral describes it as "partial 16S ribosomal RNA". It matches the Rfam family "Bacterial small subunit ribosomal RNA", at positions 524 to 776 of the family's 1533-position model. The record is from RNAcentral.